Molecule: ribosomal RNA, 465 nt
Filed under: Vreelandella stevensii
Lineage: Bacteria; Pseudomonadati; Pseudomonadota; Gammaproteobacteria; Oceanospirillales; Halomonadaceae
Description: partial 16S ribosomal RNA
Rfam family: Bacterial small subunit ribosomal RNA
Source: RNAcentral
AAGACGUGGUGCAGCAGUGGGGAAUAUUGGACAAUGGGCGAAAGCCUGAUCCAGCCAUGCCGCGUGUGUGAAGAAGGCCUUCGGGUUGUAAAGCACUUUCAGUGGGGAAGAAAGCCUUGGGGCUAAUACCCUCGAGGAAGGACAUCACCCACAGAAGAAGCACCGGCUAACUCCGUGCCAGCAGCCGCGGUAAUACGGAGGGUGCGAGCGUUAAUCGGAAUUACUGGGCGUAAAGCGCGCGUAGGCGGUCUGAUAAGCCGGUUGUGAAAGCCCCGGGCUCAACCUGGGAACGGCAUCCGGAACUGUCAGGCUAGAGUGCAGGAGAGGAAGGUAGAAUUCCCGGUGUAGCGGUGAAAUGCGUAGAGAUCGGGAGGAAUACCAGUGGCGAAGGCGGCCUUCUGGACUGACACUGACGCUGAGGUGCGAAAGCGUGGGUAGCAAACAGGAUUAGAUACCCGAGUAGUC